Molecule: ribosomal RNA, 383 nt
Filed under: uncultured eukaryote
Lineage: Eukaryota
Also listed under: 1 other name
Description: SSU rRNA
Rfam family: Eukaryotic small subunit ribosomal RNA
Source: RNAcentral
AGCUCCAAUAGCGUAUAUUAAAGUUGUUGCCGUUAAAAAGCUCGUAGUCGAACUUCGGCCUCUGCCGCCCGGUCCGCCUAAUUGGGUGUGUACUGGAGCGGUGGAGGCUUACCUCGUGGUGAACGGCCAUGCCCUUUACUGGGUGUGGUCGGGAACCAUGACUUUUACUGUGAAAAAAUUAGAGUGUUCAAAGCAGGCUUACGCCCGAAUACAUUAGCAUGGAAUAAUAAAAUAGGACGUGCGGUCCUAUUUUGUUGGUUUCUAGGAUCGCCGUAAUGAUUAAUAGGGAUAGUUGGGGGCAUUCGUAUUCAAUUGUCAGAGGUGAAAUUCUUGGAUUUAUUGAAGACGAACUACUGCGAAAGCAUUUGCCAAGGAUGUUUUCA